AGCUCAGUGGUAGAGCACUUGCCUGGCAUGCAUGAGGCCCUGGGUUCAAAACCCCG
RNAcentral lists this transfer RNA (56 nucleotides) under Fukomys damarensis (Damara mole-rat). It matches the Rfam family "tRNA", at positions 9 to 63 of the family's 71-position model. Rfam says of the family: Transfer RNA (tRNA) molecules are approximately 80 nucleotides in length. Their secondary structure includes four short double-helical elements and three loops (D, anti-codon, and T loops). Further hydrogen bonds mediate the characteristic L-shaped molecular structure. tRNAs have two regions of fundamental functional importance: the anti-codon, which is responsible for specific mRNA codon recognition, and the 3' end, to which the tRNAs corresponding amino acid is attached (by aminoacyl-tRNA synthetases). tRNAs cope with the degeneracy of the genetic code in two manners: having more than one tRNA (with a specific anti-codon) for a particular amino acid; and 'wobble' base-pairing, i.e. permitting non-standard base-pairing at the 3rd anti-codon position. The record is from Rfam by way of RNAcentral. Lineage: Eukaryota; Metazoa; Chordata; Mammalia; Rodentia; Bathyergidae.